RNAcentral lists this ribosomal RNA (253 nucleotides) under uncultured bacterium. Its description in RNAcentral is "partial 16S ribosomal RNA". It matches the Rfam family "Bacterial small subunit ribosomal RNA", at positions 524 to 776 of the family's 1533-position model. The record is from RNAcentral.
UACGUAGGGGGCAAGCGUUGUCCGGAUUUAUUGGGCGUAAAGAGCGUGUAGGCGGCCUGACAGGUCUGCUGUGAAAACUCGAGGCUCAACCUCGAGAUGUCGGCGGAAACCGUCUGGCUAGAGUCCGGAAGAGGAGAGUGGAAUUCCUGGUGUAGCGGUGAAAUGCGCAGAUAUCAGGAAGAACACCUAUGGCGAAGGCAGCUCUCUGGGCAUUACCUGACGCUGAGGAGCGAAAGUGUGGGGAGCGAACAGG